This 497-nucleotide long non-coding RNA is filed under the name Strigops habroptila (Kakapo). RNAcentral's name for it is "lncRNA (ENSSHBG00005001651.1)". The record is from RNAcentral. Lineage: Eukaryota; Metazoa; Chordata; Aves; Psittaciformes; Psittacidae.
GUCUGCCAUCUUCAACUUUCAGAGUCUACUGACUGUAAUCUUGCUGCUUAUAUGCACCUGUGCCUAUAUCAGAUCCUUGGCUCCCAGCUUACUGGACAAAAAUAAAACUGGGCAAAAUGAGGAUGGUGCGCAUGACAUGGUCCUUUGCUGUCUUGUUCCUGUCUGGUCCUAAACAGUUGGAGAUAUCUGACAUCGCCAGAGAUAAGGUAGACCUUUGUACUCUGGAUUUUUUAAAUGCCGAUGAAGUCUGGCAAAGGAAGGAGAAACCGUGCUGCUUCUGUAGUCUGUAUAUCCUCCACAGUGCAUCUGCACCUGAAGAACCACAGCUGAAAAACCAGGCUCCCACUCCAGGAUACUACAGGGGUCCCUGCUGUGACAUGUAAGUCUAGGUACCCAUGGACAGAAAUGUUUCUAGUCUGAUGACGAGAUGAGAAGAAUCUGCUGACACUGCAAAAAAAUAGUCUCUCUAAAAUUCCCCUAAGAAUACAAAAAAUUAU